RNAcentral lists this ribosomal RNA (417 nucleotides) under uncultured bacterium. RNAcentral describes it as "bacterial SSU rRNA". It matches the Rfam family "Bacterial small subunit ribosomal RNA", at positions 355 to 786 of the family's 1533-position model. The record is from RNAcentral.
UGGGGAAUAUUGGGCAAUGGGCGCAAGCCUGACCCAGCAACGCCGCGUGAAGGUAGAAGGCUUUCGGGUUGUAAACUUCUUUUGAGGGGGACGAAACAAAUGACGGUACCCCUUGAAUAAGCCACGGCUAACUACGUGCCAGCAGCCGCGGUAAUACGUAGGUGGCAAGCGUUAUCCGGAUUUAUUGGGUGUAAAGGGCGUGUAGGCGGGAGUGCAAGUCAGAUGUGAAAACUAUGGGCUCAACCCAUAGCCUGCAUUUGAAACUGUACUUCUUGAGUGCUGGAGAGGCAAUCGGAAUUCCGUGUGUAGCGGUGAAAUGCGUAGAUAUACGGAGGAACACCAGUGGCGAAGGCGGAUUGCUGGACAGUAACUGACGCUGAGGCGCGAAAGCGUGGGGAGCAAACAGGAUUAGAUACC